Molecule: long non-coding RNA, 234 nt
Organism: Dermacentor silvarum
Lineage: Eukaryota; Metazoa; Arthropoda; Arachnida; Ixodida; Ixodidae
Exons: 3
Source: RefSeq, a predicted model, not a curated record
GGGAGUGGCGCGGAGCAUGGCAGCAAGUUUCCAGGCGGGUGUGGCCACGGAACUGUGACGUCAGCGACCACACAGCAGCAUUCGCGUUCCCGUGCUACCGGAGGGCAGCCCAGCCACACAGCCACGCCGCAAGAAUGUCAGGUGGCGCUCACCAUGCGGAAACCUUGCAUCACCCAGAUAUCCCCCGACUGUUUGUUGUUCGUGGAGGAAUAUGGCACCAAGUGGUGGCCGCUU